RNAcentral lists this long non-coding RNA (2029 nucleotides) under Gadus morhua (Atlantic cod). RNAcentral describes it as "lncRNA (ENSGMOG00000023618.1)". Lineage: Eukaryota; Metazoa; Chordata; Actinopteri; Gadiformes; Gadidae. The record is from RNAcentral.
UUUACGAGUUAGGAAGUUUCUGUAAUACGGCCCAAGCCUCCCUUGUCCGUGCUGGGACAUCAGGAGGCUUGCCAUGCUGGUGCAUUGCGGCCUUACCAAGUCCUUGGGGACCUCUCUCCAGGUAGGAUUGGUUGCCGAUGAAUGUAUGGUGGAGGAGCACUGGCUGAGGGCGUCUUCUCUCUUGUCUCUGUUGAAGGGCCCUAAUGUGCUCGUCUCCAUCCUGUGGGAGGUUGUCGAGGCCCUGCUGGCCCGGUACCAUUCAGACCGCCCUGAGGAAUCCUCCAUCCCCACCCAAGUUCCCAGGGUGAUGCAGGAGAGGCAGGAGAUGGAGGAAAAGCUGCUCAGCCAGAGGCUUCCUGAGCAGCUCAGGGAGCAACUCCACGGGACGUUUGGCACGUGGGUCCAACACGGCAAACUCUUUGGCAGGGCUCUCCCAAUGAUGAGCACCGCAGAGCAGGACCUCAGAGGAGGGGACGCAGCCGUCCUCAGCAACACUCUGGCUGACGACCCUGUCGCUCUGGACCCCAGUCUGGACGCCCCUCAGAAGGAGCAGCCCGACAGCCCCAGUCGUUGUGAUCCGUCUGUGAUGGAGAACAGUAGCUGUGGACCUGUCGCUGGAGAUCCCCUUCCUCCAGCAGCUCAGCCGGAGAACGGAGAGUCUAACUCCGUCUCCACAACCGACCCGGUUGUGAUCCAGCGGUCCACCGUUGGAUUCGUGGCCCAGCUGUUCAGAGGCCGGGACGAAAUGUCCUCCCCGUCCUACAUCGACCGGUACCGGGCCUUCCAGAACCUGGUUGUCCGGGAAGUCCACCUCCUGCUGCAGGAGGAGGCCACCAUGAACCAGGACAACCCUGGGUUUGAGCGGACCCUGGAGCACCUGAAGGACCCUGUGCAGGAGGUCUGCUUUAGGUUUAGUUAUAAAACCAAACAACAAAUUCAAUUUGUUUAAAAAGGAAAGAAACUGUAAAGUACAACGGUUCGCUCUCUAUCACAUCCAUGCAUUGUUAACCUGCAUGGAUUUCCUAAUUUAAUAAAUGCCUGCAAUGUGAAGUUGGCAAUUUGCUUAGAAAAGUAAUAAAAUUCAUAAAACAUGACUUAAUGAUAAUAAUAAUACAUUUAAUUUAAAGGGUGCCUUUCAAGACACCCAAGGUCACCUUACAGAGCAUAAAGUUAUCAUAAAUCGUUUACAAACAAGACAUUGUAGAAAAAUAAUAAUAAUAAAUUAAUUAAUUAAUUAAUAAAUAAAACAAAAACAAGACAAACCAAACAAUCAAGACAGUGAUCAGUUAGACGUUGUAUGCGAGUUUGAACAGGUGAGUUUUGAGUUGUGACUUGAAGGUUGUAAUGGUGUCUGACUGUUUUAUGUGUGGGGGGAGGGAGUUCCAGAGCCUGGGUGCUGAACAGCUGAACAGUUUGUUACCGGUCCCAAGUGGCCAGGACGGUGGUAACAAAAAGAUUGUUGAGACCGGACUCCCUGAAAAGCAGGUAUACAUGUAUUACAAGGACUGAAGCAGCACUGCUUUUGUUUGGUCUUCGAAAUCCGUCAUACUCAUGAUCAUUCAAGAUGUAAUUUGUGAUGAUCAAAUGAUGUACAGUAUAUUGUGGUCCUGUUUUAUGUAGAAAGGAGGACUUGGUCAAAUGCAUAGAAUACUUGUAUAGAAAUGUGAUUUUAUAAUUUGGAUAGAAGGAUUAAAGUUCAGGUCAUUCAACAGGAGAAACUGGGUCUGCAGCUUCGCUGGGUCCUUGAGGAUAGGCUGAGAGAGGCCUUGCCCGGCGUGUGCCUGUCCAGGGACGGGCUCAUGAAGGACCCCCCGAACACCCUGCUGGCCUGCUCCCUGAUCGCCACAGAGGUCCUUGAUCACCUGAAGACCUCUGUGAGCUCUCCUGACUACAACAAUGAGGCAGAGGAGUGUCUUCACGGGGAACAGUUGUUGGCCCCCGCUAAGAUCAGUCAUCUCAGAUCCUGGUGUAACAGUCCUUCACAAAGGCCCUUACGUGGUGGGCUACACACAAAGAAAUGUUUAAGAUA